CCUACGGGUGGCAGCAGUGAGGAAUAUUGGUCAAUGGGCGCAAGCCUGAACCAGCCAAGUCGCGUGAGGGAUGACGGUCCUAUGGAUUGUAAACCUCUUUUGUCGGGGAGCAAGGCCCGCCACGUGUGGCGGGAAGGAGAGUACCCGAAGAAAAAGCAUCGGCAAACUCCGUGCCAGCAGCCGCGGUAAUACGGAGGAUGCGAGCGUUAUUCGGAUUGAUUGGGUUAAAAGGGUGCGUAGGCGGAAGGUUAAGUCAGCGGUAAAAUGUCGGUGUUCAACACCGGCCUGCCGUUGAAACUGGUCUUCUUGAGUGAGCGAGAGGUAUGCGGAAUGCGUGGUGUAGCGGUGAAAUGCGUAGAUAUCACGCAGAACACCAGUGGCGAAGGCAGCAUACCGGCGCUCAACUGACGCUGAGGCACGAAAGCGUGGGGAGCGAACAGGAUUAGAUACCCGAGUAGUC
RNAcentral lists this ribosomal RNA (460 nucleotides) under uncultured bacterium. Its description in RNAcentral is "partial 16S ribosomal RNA". It matches the Rfam family "Bacterial small subunit ribosomal RNA", at positions 338 to 795 of the family's 1533-position model. The record is from RNAcentral.